GAUGAACGCUGGCGGCGUGCCUAAUACAUGCAAGUCGAGCGAACAGACGAGGAGCUUGCCCCUCUGACGUUAGCGGCGGACGGGUGAGUAACACGUGGAUAACCUACCUAUAAGACUGGGAUAACUUCGGGAAACCGGAGCUAAUACCGGAUAAUAUAUUGAACCGCAUGGUUCAAUAGUGAAAGACGGUUUUGCUGUCACUUAUAGAUGGAUCUGCGCCGCAUUAGCUAGUUGGUAAGGUAACGGCUUACCAAGGCAACGAUGCGUAGCCGACCUGAGAGGGUGAUCGGCCACACUGGAACUGAGACACGGUCCAGACUCCUACGGGAGGCAGCAGUAGGGAAUCUUCCGCAAUGGGCGAAAGCUUGACGGAGCAACGCCGCGUGAGUGAUGAAGGUCUUCGGAUCGUAAAACUCUGUUAUUAGGGAAGAACAAAUGUGUAAGUAACUAUGCACGUCUUGACGGUACCUAAUCAGAAAGCCACGGCUAACUACGUG
Molecule: ribosomal RNA, 497 nt
Filed under: uncultured bacterium
Lineage: Bacteria
Description: partial 16S ribosomal RNA
Rfam family: Bacterial small subunit ribosomal RNA
Source: RNAcentral